RNAcentral lists this long non-coding RNA (207 nucleotides) under Elaeis guineensis (African oil palm). RNAcentral describes it as "long non-coding RNA (EGUI_LNC018667)". The record is from RNAcentral. Lineage: Eukaryota; Viridiplantae; Streptophyta; Magnoliopsida; Arecales; Arecaceae.
UCCUUCUUAUUCUCUCCCUUUUUCUUUUCUGCCUCCAUGUUUACUCCUUGAUUUUUCAUUCUUAUCAGACCUUUUGCUUCUUUUCUUUCGUUCUGUUUUUCUUUCUUUUUCAAUUUUUCAAUGAAAAUAUAGCUAUUAUUAUCAAAAUAUCAUAUAACUUUUAAUAUUUUCCCAUCCUCACUUAAUCACUCUCCUCUUUAACUCACC